AGUGAAAGAUGGCGGGAGGAAGAACACAGGCAAGUCGAACGGAAGGACAGUAAGAGCUUGCUUCUACGGGUGGCGAGUGGCGGACGGGUGAGGAAUAGAUAGGAAACCACUAUUUCGUGGGGGAUAACGUAGGGAAAGAUACGCUAAUACAGCAUAUGACCUACGGGUGGAAGCAGGGGUGAAACGGAGUUUGGGUGACAGAAUGAGACGAUGUCGGAUUAGCUAGUUGGCGCGGUAAAGGCACACCAAGGCGACGAUACGUAGCUGGUCUGAGAGGAUGAUCAGCCACACUGGAACUGAGACACGGUCCAGACUCCUACGGGAGGCAGCAGUGGGGAAUAUUGGGCAAUGGGCGCAAGCCUGAUCCAGCCAUGCCGCGUGAGUGAAGAAGGCCUUCGGAUUGUAAAGCCCUUUUAUUAGGAAAGAAAAGCUGCAGAUUUAUCCCCCGCUGUUCUGACGGUACCCAAAGAAAAAGCCCCGGCUACCUUCGUG
This 492-nucleotide ribosomal RNA is filed under the name uncultured bacterium. RNAcentral describes it as "partial 16S ribosomal RNA". It matches the Rfam family "Bacterial small subunit ribosomal RNA", at positions 29 to 507 of the family's 1533-position model. The record is from RNAcentral.